RNAcentral lists this long non-coding RNA (793 nucleotides) under Anser brachyrhynchus (Pink-footed goose). RNAcentral's name for it is "lncRNA (ENSABRG00000019017.1)". The record is from RNAcentral. Lineage: Eukaryota; Metazoa; Chordata; Aves; Anseriformes; Anatidae.
CUUUGUGUCACGAGUGCUUCACACAUCCUCAGACUGCCCGAGAAAUUCACCCUGCCCUUCACCUUUGGUGCGCUUAGACCUCACCUAGCACUCAUCUGAUCAUCACUUGGUAAAGCAAGACCAGCUGUGAAUAAUGACAUGUUGUUCCUCAGUGAGCACCCACAGGUAAUUAAUGGCCCCACCUCCCAGGGGAGGUUGUGCCAGACCAUGCAAAGAGCCAGCCUAACUCUGGAGAAGCCAAACCAGGAGCUGGCAGAGGAACACAGUGGAAAUGGAAUACACCCCACUCUGAAUUAGUGAGCUUGGUUCAUCAGCCCAGUACACCUGACAACUUGCUUGUUACAUCUUUAUCUUGUUCUUUGCAGGGCUAGGCUAAGUGGUCCUUCAAGACUCAAAGGCUGAGAAGCACCAGUCUGUGCUUGGAAAUGGGACACAGAGACAUACCUAAGUGCGAUGGUGUGCCUGGCAGCAACCUGGGGAGCACGGCUGGACCCCCACAGCUGGGUGUGUGAGCGUUGCACAGAUUCCGUAAGGACAGGCUCCAUGACACCGAUGCAGUGGAAAAUGAGCUGGAGACACGUUCUCUGCAGCCGUGCAGGAUGUCUGUCCCCAUCUACACAGGGGCACACCAGUGACACAGCGCAGUGCCUGCCUGCAUUUAGGGACACGUGCCAUAUCAGCCUGAUGGUCUGUUCUGAACCUCUGCCUUCUUCAGCCCUGGUGGUGCCCCAUGCCUUGGACACGUAGCGGGACCCCACGAGUGUUCCCAAGCACUGAGGGUAGACAGAACCAG